UACGUAGGGGGCGAGCGUUGUCCGGAAUCAUUGGGCGUAAAGCGCGUGUAGGCGGCUCGAUAAGUCUGCUGUGAAAGUCCAGGGCUCAACCCUGGAAUGCCGGUGGAAACUGUCGAGCUUGAGUCCGGAAGAGGCGAGUGGAAUUCCUGGUGUAGCGGUGAAAUGCGUUGAUAUCAGGAGGAACACCCAUGGCGAAGGCAGCUAACUGGGCAUUAUCUGACGCUGAGGCGCGAAAGCGUGGGUAGCAAACAGG
This 253-nucleotide ribosomal RNA is filed under the name uncultured bacterium. RNAcentral's name for it is "partial 16S ribosomal RNA". It matches the Rfam family "Bacterial small subunit ribosomal RNA", at positions 524 to 776 of the family's 1533-position model. The record is from RNAcentral.